RNAcentral lists this long non-coding RNA (1062 nucleotides) under Numida meleagris (helmeted guineafowl). RNAcentral describes it as "lncRNA (ENSNMEG00000002983.1)". Lineage: Eukaryota; Metazoa; Chordata; Aves; Galliformes; Numididae. The record is from RNAcentral.
GCUGCCGCAGCGGGGACAAAGCCAUUUCACGCCGCAUCCCGCAGAACGCAGACCGGGUGCGGAGAGCGGCAGGGGAGCACCGAGUUCCCCUCUUUGCUUCCCUCACCGCCAGCUCACACCAGUGCCCCCCGCAGCCCGCCGGGCGUCAGCGAGCCGGGGCCGCGGCACCGAACCCAGCAGCGCUGCCGGGGGGGCUGCCCGUCCUGCCCCGCUCAGCUGUCCCGCGGCGGGGGCGCGGGGCCGACAGGUGUGCCCCGCUCGGCAGCACCGGGCCGGGCCUCGCCGCCCCCCCCCGAGCCCGCUCCGGCAGCUGCAGCGCGGGGCCGCCCCCAGGCCCGCCGCCAGCCGGGGCUGAACUGCCCUGUACCCCGCUGCGAGCAGGGAGACGGAGCCCUCACCCCGGGCCCGCUCUCGUUGAGUAUAGAACAGCCGCGCUCCGUCGGGCGCCGCUCCGCUCCGUUCUCUGCCCUCGGUGGUAACGGCGCCCCCGGGCCGCGCUCAUCGCCGGGAAGCUGGAGGAGCCCGUGCCAGAACCCGGAGCCCGACCGCCGGCUCUGCUCGGAGCCUCCCGGGGCUGGCCGGUCCCGCUCCUUCCCCCGCAGCUGCCGCCGGACCCACCGCCGGCGGUCGGCGCUUCCCUCGCUCCUUCCCCCUCAGUCCGGCCGGGUCCGUUGCUCCCGGCGGGUACCCGCAGCCACGGGCCGGCUCGCCCUCUCCCCGGAGCUGCAGGGAGGUCGGCUCUGCUGUAAACAGGCGCCAGCCCGUUACAUAAAUAUCAUUUAUCCAACUGUCCGAACGCCGUCGGGCUGCUGCGCUUUUCCCAGGCGCUGUCUCCCCGCGUCCCGCUGCCCCGGGCCCUGCAGACAGCUGAGCCGCAGCCCGCAGCGCUGUUAUUUACAGCGAGCCCCGGCUAAUUUAAACAGCCCCGGCCCCGGUCGCCCCAGUGGAAAAUGCCUAAGUUUAGCAACUGCCAGGGGCUCCGGGAGCGCUUGCCGGGAGGGGCCCGGGCAGCCCAGCGGGGCGGCCGGACCCACAACACUGCGGCCCCGAGCAGGACAGGGG